AAGUUAGUCCGGACUUUAUCUGGCUGUUAGUACAGUGAACUGAAUCGAUCGUAUCAAGCCUUGCCAAGAUCUAGGCGUAUGUGGUGGGGUGGCUCCAUGAAUGAUCUGCUCAAACCUGAUCAAGCUCAGAGCAAGAAUUUAUUCCGGCAUUUAAUCGAACACUUUAUCAAGGUACUCAUGAAGUGUGAAUCUUCUCUUCUUGCUAUUGAGCUCAUGAGAAUGUGAAUGCAGGUGGCCUGAGGCAGCUAAAGCUUAUCAGUCUUCUGUGUCCUCCGGCCAUUUCAUGCAAGCUUACACUGGAAAUCU
Molecule: long non-coding RNA, 306 nt
Filed under: Musa acuminata (dwarf banana)
Lineage: Eukaryota; Viridiplantae; Streptophyta; Magnoliopsida; Zingiberales; Musaceae
Description: long non-coding RNA (MACU_LNC003939)
Source: RNAcentral